Ruditapes philippinarum (Manila clam) is the source of this 814-nucleotide long non-coding RNA. RefSeq lists it as uncharacterized. The transcript has 3 exons. NCBI's taxonomy places the organism in Eukaryota, Metazoa, Mollusca, Bivalvia, Venerida, Veneridae. The record is from RefSeq and is a predicted model, not a curated record.
CAUACGGAUAUGGCGACAAACGGGAGGGAAAUGGAUAUACACUUAAACUUAAAGUAAUUGUAUGAUGAUUUUUAGUUAACAAAAAUACAGUUUGAUUGGAGUCAAUAAUAAAAAAACAACAGAAAAUAAAUAAAAACUUUAUGCUGUGCUUAAAGAACUCCUUUGGAAAAUGACACAGCAACUUUAUGAAUAUCGUACAGUCAACAAAGUGCAUACACCUCUAUAUAUACCGACUUCUGAAAAAGAAGUCUUAACAAUAUUUGAGUUUGGACAAGACCCUUAACUUAACGUGCUGUGAAGAACGCUGUUCAGAGGAUUUUAUAAAAAUUGCUUGUGAUACUUCAAGAUGAAAUACAUGAAAACAGUUCAAUUUCUUGCCCUAAUGUUCGCCGUCCUUAUUCACGUGACAAUGAGCACUAGAGGCAGCAACAAUUGUACGUGUAGAAUAAGCAGAGAUUCCACGACAUGUGAGAUUGAAACCUCUGGUCCUAGAGCCACCAGUAGAUGUUGUUGUGCUGCAACAUUUAGAAAACAGGGAAACGGCUUCAUGGUAAAUAGAUGUUUCUCACCUGAAAUUUGUCAAGAGUUGAGAAGUAUAUAAAAAAAAUUACUUCAUCUCCACGUCAAUGGAUAGGCAGCAACAGCGAAUGACAAGAUAACAGAAACAGUUUUUGAUCAAUUUUAUUGAUAAUUUUGUUCUCCUGUUUAUGUGAAAUUUACUUAUACAUGUUUAGAAAGAUAAUGCUCACUAUGUCAAUAUUUUAUGAUUUUGAGCCUGUGAAAUAUGUGUAUUUGAUAAUUUUGUCGAAAUCUU